This 2736-nucleotide long non-coding RNA is filed under the name Canis lupus familiaris (dog). RNAcentral's name for it is "lncRNA (ENSCAFG00845021023.1)". The stretch from base 471 to 543 matches the Rfam family "tRNA". Lineage: Eukaryota; Metazoa; Chordata; Mammalia; Carnivora; Canidae. The record is from RNAcentral.
GUUUGUGGACUAUAGCAGUCAUUUAAAAAUGUGGUUAUUGUUGUAACAUGGCCCUGUGUUCAGAAGACACUAUGAAUAGUUUGUAUUCCAAGAAACUAGAAGCUGCCACUGGGCAUAUCAUGUUUAGAAAAUCCUAGGCCUUUACAGAAAAGCUGCUAACCAUUUAACAAAUAUAUGUUAAGUUCCUACCAUAUGCCACACUGUUCUGGGCACUGGGUAUAGAGAUGUGAGCAAUAUUGUCUUGGUACCUGCCCACACAGAGCUUGCACUUUAAUGAGGAGGGAGGCAGGAUGUUAACAAAAUGCACACAAGUGUAUAAUCACAAAUUAUGACAGAUACCAUGAAAUGGUAUUGUAGCAUUUUAUAGGAGACUAAUAGGGUCCUACUUGGGAUUGGGUGAGUAAGUAAGGGAAUGGCUUUCUGAAGAAAUGGCAUUUACAGUGAGAUCUAAAGGAUGAGAGAUUUGGGGGACCUGGCUGGCUCAGUUGGUAGAGCGUAUGACUCUUGAUCUCAGGGUUGUGAGUUCAGACCCCACUUUGGGUGUAGAACUCAUUAAAAAAAAGGAGGGGGGGCUUAGUUGGUUAAACAUCAGCCUUUGGCUCGGGUUGUGAUCCUGCAGUCUUGGGAUCGAGCCCCACAUCAGGCUCUCACUCAGUGGGGAGUCUGUUUCUCCCCCUGCUUAUACUCUCUCUCUCUCAAAUAAAAUCUUUAAAAACUAAACAAAGAGUAUGAGAAAUUAGCUGGGUAAGAGAGGAGAGGGAAGGAGUCUGUGAAGGUCUUGAAGCAGAAUUUCACAGGAAGGCAUCUCUAGUCCUUUUUACCCUCACUACAGGGAAGCAAGGAGAACUAUUCAGGAAAAAAUUAUAGCACAGGACUUAAACAACAACAACAACAACACCAACAACAACAACACCAAACCAACAAAUUUAAAGAGCAUGGAAAGGAUAGCAUCCUAUGUGACUUAGGCAAAGGAUUUUUAAUUGUGUUUCUUUAUAAGUCGCCUUCAAACUAUAUGUAAUGUUCGCAUAACUUCCUUUCUUUCAAAAAGAGUUAAAAACCAUAGCUUGGCUUAGCCUAAAUAAUUAUUAAUGUCGAAUAAUUCAAAAUCCAUUAGCCAGGGGAUCCCCGGUACUACUGUUUUCUUGCUCCUCUAGUCUCUCUUCUGGGACAGAGGGAGGGGCAGUAUAUUGGCCUACAGUCCCUGACCUCAUCUGGCUGACAGUCUAAUUCAGAAGCAGACAUUGAAGAAGUCAUCAUCAAUGUCGAGAGUGGAUUAUAUUUUUCCUCAUUAGAGUUUGAAAGAAGCAUUGGGUGCUAUGGGAGUGUAAAAGACUCAAUGAGUAUAGGGCAGCAGGAAAAGUCUCGCUGAAGAAAUAGUUAAGGAGGCAUCUAGGAUGACUAUGCAUCCCUCUCUUGUUCCUCCUCCACCGCAGACCAGCGUUAGCACCCAAUCCUGCUUGAAUGAAUCCAUUCAGCAACCUAAGAGGCCCCACUCUGUGUCAGGCCCUAUGCUGUUGGGUCUGGAUAAAAUUAAUCCAGCUUUAUGCUUUUUAGUAGACUUCACAAACUGUAAGAACCACUCAGUAGGGAGGUACUAUGUCUGUGUUAGUUAUCUACUACUGUGUAACAAAUUACCUCAAAAUUUAGUGCGUUGAAACAGUAAAUAUUAUCUCAUACAGUUUCUGUGAGCCAGGAAUCCAGAUGUACUGUAUUUGGGUGUUUCUGGCUCUAGAUCUUUAAUGAGGUUGCAGUCAAGAUGUUGGCUAGGGCUGAAGUCAUUUGAAAGCUUGUCUGGUGCUAUUGCCAUGUGGACCUCUCCAUUGGGCUGCUUGAGUGUCCUCAUGACAUGGUGACUGGCUUCCCUGGAGUGUGAUCUAAGAGAACAAGGUGGAAGCUGCAAUGUCUUUUAGGACCUAGCCCCAGAAGCCCCACACAGUUAUUUCUAAAAUAUCCUUUUGGGUCCACAGUUCAGCCCUCUUCCAAAUGGGAACUAAAAAGGAUGUGAAUAAUCAGGAAUGGGAAUCACUGGGGGCCAUUUUGGAGGCUGUCUACCAGUGCCUUCGGAGUUUGGGUUUAAGUCUUGACUGCAGUGCAACUAAUUGUGGGAUCUUGGGAAAGUUCCUUUACUCUCCUGGCCCUGCCAUUUUACUUACUCACCUUGCAUGGCAGUUGUGGUAUAGCUAAGCCUUUAGUGAAAGCCAUUUAUCUAAGCCUUUUAACUUCACACACAGAUAUUAGCAAUCCUUAAAGAAGGGGAGGAAGAAAAGCCAUUUGGGCCAGGGUAUAAACUGUUUUCAUUAUAAAACAUUGAAAAGGAAGAAAUAACAUCAUCACAUUAGCACCACCACUCUUAGAAUUUUGGUGUUAAAAUGCAUUUUAAAGUUUCUUUUCAAAAAAAAUUUUUUUUCUUUUCCUUCUUUGCAGAGAAAGAUGAAAUGGAUUAAAUUGAGACCAGAAAGAUUUAUAGUAGGAAGGAGUACAUCUCUCUGGCAUUAAGAGAGAUUAAAAAUUGGGAUGGGCUUCUUAGCGAGGUCUUAAAAUCUCCAUCUGAAAAUCUUAAAGAAUCUGGCAGGGGGCUGAUAUUUUCCACGAUUUUGGUAAAAACUAGGUCAGGUCAUCCUUUGAGACCAUUUUAUAGGGGGUCCCACAAAUCUUCUUAAAUGAAAUGGAAGAAUUAUUAUUAAAAGAUGUCUUACACUGUUGAACAUCAAACUUUUUAUUUUUUCAACACACUCA